Sardina pilchardus (European sardine) is the source of this 265-nucleotide long non-coding RNA. RefSeq lists it as uncharacterized. The transcript is spliced from 3 exons. Lineage: Eukaryota; Metazoa; Chordata; Actinopteri; Clupeiformes; Clupeidae. The record is from RefSeq and is a predicted model, not a curated record.
GCUCAGUAAGGAAAUUGAUUCUCAUAACAUGUCAAUCUGAUAGCCUCACAGUUAUGGAGGCGAAACUAUGAGGAUAACCCAAUUUCUAGAGCAUGCAGCACAUGCUAAUCAAUGCUGGAUUGUCACUUUGCUUGGGCCUAUCUGAAGUGGGAGUGCAAAGUUCUCAUGCCGGAUUAUGGAGAAUCCAUGAAGGACAAGACAGCAACCUGUAUGUCAUCUCAGCGGAGACAUCCAAUCACACUGCCCUGGAGAAACACCUUCUGAG